CUCUCUCUCUCUCUCUCUCUCUCUCUCUCCUGAUGCUAUGCAGUGCCCUGCUGAGAACCAUUACAGCUUAUAGCCCUGAGGGUGCAGGCCGUCGCGUCAGCAGCAGACACAAUUCAGACCUCAAUUAUCUUCAGAUCCAUCUUUGUCGCUGACAAUUUUAUGUGCACAUCGGUAAUUGUGAAGAAAUUAAUGCAAUGGAGAGCUUGGGGAAAGGACGGGCAGUGCAGAUCAUUUUGAAUUCACCUGCACCUGCAAUAAUUCUCAUUCUACGGAGAAAGUACAGUGGUUAUUUGUGGUAGCAAUGUUGCUAAUUGGAGUCCAGUAAAGGAUAAACGAGUGGAUAAAACCCAAGGUCACAGGGAACCUGGAGCCUAUCCCAGGGAGCAUCGGGCACGAGGCGGGGUACACCCUGGACAGGGUGCCAAUUAAUUUAAUGUAUUCAUUCAUUGUUAUUAUAUUUUUAAUAACAAUGCUGUUCUUCACUAGAUUUCCACCUUCUGUUGAAGUCAAAAAGUUCCAAGAAUGUACUGUAUACACCACACAGUUGUGCUGAAUGUAUGGAAUGAACAACUACAGAGUAUUAAGUGUCAAUUUAACACAGGGGAUUUUGCUGACAUGCAUAUACUAUAGAAAAUGGAAAUCCUUAACAAAGAUCUCAAGAUAAAUCAACUGGAAGACUUAAGUCUCUAUACAUAAAAUGUCACUAUGCAUGAAAAUCUUUAGCUUAUGUGAUCUUGCUGCGUUGUCAUCAAUCAUGCUUUAAUUUGCUUUACAUGUGAUACUGGAUGCUGCAGAAAAGCAGAAGGUAACUCUUUAUCAGUUUUCAUCCUGGGAGAAAUGAACCUGAACUGGAGCUCAUAUGAAACAAGUGGCAGAGAUGGAUGUUAUUUCCAAUAAUGGCAGAAUGUUUUCAGGAGAAUAUAUAUUCUAUUCGCUAACACAUAAAAAGGAAGUGAAGCACAGAAUAUGCUCCUGCUAUACGAAUACUUCAGUACUCAUUAAUUAAACAACAGUGAAUUCGGUUCAAUGACUUAACUGUGGAAAGCUUAGGGAAUUAGAUGUAGAGACAAUAAUACUAAAAUAUUUUAAACUGUAAUUUGAAACUCAGAAUUUCUGUUUACACCAAUCACUGCUAGAUCAGCUAGAUAAAUUAAUUGGUCAGCAUUUACACUUGCUCUAUAAUCUCUGAUUGACUGUGUUAUGGAUUGUAAUAGGAAGAUAAUUGUUAUUGGUUAAUUAGACUAAUUGUAUCAUGUUGAGUAAUUAGAGUAUCAUCAAUCAAGAAAAAUGCUCAUGUGAUUAUGCCUUUUUACUUAAGAAUAGGGCUUUAUAAUUUGGUGAAACUGACCAAAAAUGUUUUGUAUUUCUGAAACAAACUGUACUUUUUGCCGUGCUCAGCUAAUUCAGAUGUUGUUUGAGUUUUGAAGCGUGAAAGUUUUUUUUGUUUGUUUGUUUGUUUGUUUUUGUUGCACUUUGACAUCUCUUAUAUAAAUCAUGCAUACAAUGCAUGGGAAGCAAUUUGUAUGCAUUGAACUGGAGUCAUGUGCAAAUGAUUUAGGGCUUCAG
Molecule: long non-coding RNA, 1566 nt
Organism: Ictalurus punctatus (channel catfish)
Lineage: Eukaryota; Metazoa; Chordata; Actinopteri; Siluriformes; Ictaluridae
Source: Ensembl